GGAUUGGUCAGACUUUCUGCAGGAGCAUGCGGAUUAGUUAGACUUUCUGUGGGUGCAGGCAGGAUCUGUCAGACUUUCUGUGGGACUGGGUGGAAUUAGUCAAAAUAUUUGCAGGAGCAGGUGGGAUUGGUCCGACUGUAUGCAGAAUCAAGGAUUGGGCAAUUUUUUGGCAUGAGCAGACGAGAUUACACAAACUUCGCAGGAGACUAGCGGAAUUGAUCGAACAUUCUGAGGAAGCGUGGCAGGAUUAAUAAAAGUUUCGGAUGCUACAAGCAGGAUUCGUCAGACGUUUUGCUGUAGCAGAUGGAUUGUUUUAAACUUGUUGCAGGGGCAGCUGGGAUUAGUCAGACUUUGUCAGGGAGAGGGCGAGAUCGCUCAGAACUCGUUUGGGAGUGGGAUUUAAAAACCAGCCUCUGUGCACACUUCUACCAGUGAGACCUCGAUGCCUCUUCAUCUCACGUCUUAUCUGAUGUGCCAACAUCCUCCUGAGAAUGACUGCUUUCACAGUCCUCGUCUUAUGUGGAAUCUUUUUUUUUUUGGACCAUUUGGUUUAAUAGCAGUCUUAGUUUAAAUAUGUAAGUUCAAGAAGAUGUGGUGUAUUUGGAUCGACGUAUAACAGUGUCUUAUAAAUCUAUAACGUCACCCGUGCUGAGAUUUUUUUUUUUUUGUGAACAUGUGUAUGUACCCAUCUAUGGUAUGUAUGUGGUGUAGAUCUACAGGUGUGUGUUAUUCCUGUAGGUUUGGUUUUUAUUUCGCGUGUGCCGGGAGAGCACAGCCUAUCGCAUCAAUCUGCCAUGAUCUUUAGCUAGAUUCAUGGGUUUUUAAGGUAGUGCGGUCGGUGUAUGUGUACGGCAGAGCUUCUGGACAAACCGUCGAGAUGAUCUCUUACUCUACAGCCCUGAUUUGUUUCAAUCUGCCUUUCCGAACUGAGCAGUAUGGUAAAAGUGACUUGACGGAAUUGUGUUAGGAUGAGAUCCGCUGUCAUGUUUUGUUAUGAACUGUCUUCACCUCCUCCCGGUGACGUGGAGGACGGCCGGUCUGUGCAUUCGCUGUACGGUUUGUUCUCAUCAGAGUUCUUCACCUCACCGUACUGUAUAUUUUGUGGUGUGUUCCACUGCUCUCGCGCAUUCAUCCUCACGAAGACUGAAACAUCCAGGUCUGUAGUUGGAACACAAUCUGAGACUGUACUUACGCUCGUCACUGGGAUGGUAUCCUCAAGGGCACAUCCUCGGUAUCUACCAUCUUGUCUUUCACUUAAAAAGUGAAUGUUUUUAAAUGUACCUUUAAAACUCGUGUUGCGUAAUUGGAGCACCGCUGUACCUUUCCAAAUGUGCAUUGUACUCACUGUUGAAGCUCCAGGCAAAAGAUAUACUCUGUAUGAAAGGUACUGAAGGUGUAUCCUUGAUGGUUUUUACAGUCGGUACAGUUUAGUCAUUUUUGUUUGUUUGUUUGUCUUUUAUGUCGAAAGUUAAAUGAACAGUUUGGCCAAAAAUGAAAUGUACACUUUUCACCUUUACCCCAAAUGUACUCGAUCAUCCAGGGCAUGUUUGGUGUUUGACGUUUACUCGACUUAAAAGACUUUUUGGGACGUGGUGGUGCAGUGCUCAAGGCUCUAGGCUACUACUCAGAAGGUAAUGAGUUUAAAUCGCAGCACCGACACACACUCACGGUCGGGUCCUCGAGCAAGACCUUUAACCAUUAAUUGCUCAGACGGCUCCCGUCUGAACUGUAGAUCAGCUAAUGAGACGAUUCCGGGCUCGGCGAUAACGUUUAUAAACAUGUAAACGACUCCACGGAGAAGAUGAUAUACAAAUUCAAUUGGAACUGCAUUAUCUUGAAAAUCACUUAGGCCACGCCUCCUACUCGAAUCCGAUGCCCAGAGUGAUCUCAAACUUUGCCGAAAAGGAGAGAUUCUUGCUUCGGUUUGGCCAUGUCAAUGUUUGUUAUUUUCGUUUGUUACUCAUCAUCCGUUUGUACAUUUUGAGUUCAGUUUAAUGAUGCAAGUAUAUGAUGAUUUUUUUUGGGGGGGGGCGGGGUUUGCACAACGCUAUCUUCAGCCACCAAUCUCCUUGGCUCAGUAACUACAAUUGUGGUAAUCGGGACAUCGUGUCAGUUUUCAUUUUUGGUGAAGUAUCUUGUUGGUUAUAACAUGGAUGUGUACUAUCAGUGUCCCUUCUCCUGUUCUCACUCAGACCAAACUGCUAACAGAGAGACGUGUGUUUAGUCCACCCUCUUUGUCUCUUGGUGAUUGGAUUGCAUGUGAUUAGUGUGGGCCUUCUUUUCAUACGAUGCACUUUAUCCAGUCUUUGAUGUUGUGGGUGACUGACAAUAGAUGUAUAUUUGUUUGUGUGUGUGUGAGAGAGAGCGAGAGAGAGAGAGAAAAUGUGUGCAUUUGAAACAGAACGGAAGUGAACGCCAACUCCUACUACAGACUACUCGGCUACUAUUACAGCGGAACGCACACCGUUCCUCACAAUCCAAAUACUCUCCGUUUGGUGUCCUUCAGGUGUUCUUCCUUCUUCUCUACACCCAACAGUUGGUCGUUUCUACUGUUUUUAUUUCAAACGGAUUCUAUGCAACUUGAGGUUGUUGGGUGUUUUUUGUUUUUUUUUUUUCCCCCCCUAAAUCUCUGGGUAGCUGGUAGGUUUUAGCUGGAAUGCAUGUGCGAGUUCCUCCUCAGGUCCUUCAGCGAGGAACCACAUCAGAGUUGCUGCUGUUUCAAGCAAAUAAUCUCUUGGUUUUAGGGUAAGAGGUAAUAGGUGUGUAUGUGUGUGUGUGUACGUUUGUGCACGUGUGUGUGUGUCUUAAAAAAAAAACAAAAAAUCAGUAAAUAAAAGUUUCUAAGUCAGUUGGACCUUGUUGAGCUUGCAGGUUUCUUUAACUUGAUCUUCAGGAGCCUGAAACAGAGGUAUGGUGUUAUGUAGUUAAUGGAGCGAGUGGUUACGCUGUACAAAAGGAUUUCAUCCGGAAGAUGUAAAGCAGAGCUGUAACAAAGCAAUUUCCGAAGUGAAAUACUGUACCAUUGAUGUAAAUGGAAAGAUUAUUUUAAAUCCUUGUAAAUAAAACUGUACAAAAAGAGCGAACGUGAGAUGUUAAUAUCAGUCUGCGAUGCAGGAGAAUAUAGAUCUGUAUAUCGGUGAAUAAAUCUUGUGCUGUA
This is a long non-coding RNA of Ictalurus punctatus (channel catfish), 3157 nucleotides long. Lineage: Eukaryota; Metazoa; Chordata; Actinopteri; Siluriformes; Ictaluridae. The record is from Ensembl.